RNAcentral lists this ribosomal RNA (467 nucleotides) under uncultured bacterium. RNAcentral's name for it is "bacterial SSU rRNA". It matches the Rfam family "Bacterial small subunit ribosomal RNA", at positions 331 to 795 of the family's 1533-position model. The record is from RNAcentral.
CCAGACUCCUACGGGAGGCAGCAGUGAGGAAUAUUGGUCAAUGGGCGGGAGCCUGAACCAGCCAAGUCGCGUGAGGGAUGACGGCCCUAUGGGUUGUAAACCUCUUUUGCCGGGGAGCAAAGUGCCGCACGUGUGCGGUUUGGAGAGUACCCGGAGAAAAAGCAUCGGCUAACUCCGUGCCAGCAGCCGCGGUAAUACGUAGGGGGCAAGCGUUAUCCGGAUUCACUGGGUGUAAAGGGAGCGUAGACGGCGACGCAAGUCUGGAGUGAAAGCCCGGGGCCCAACCCCGGGACUGCUCUGGAAACUGCGUCGCUGGAGUACGGGAGGGGCAGGCGGAAUUCCUGGUGUAGCGGUGAAAUGCGUAGAUAUCAGGAGGAACACCGGCGGCGAAGGCGGCCUGCUGGACCGCGACUGACGUUGAGGCUCGAAAGCGUGGGGAGCGAACAGGAUUAGAUACCCGCGUAACC